UAGGGAAUCUUCGGCAAUGGGGGGAACCCUGACCGAGCAACGCCGCGUGAGUGAAGAAGGUUUUCGGAUCGUAAAACUCUGUUGUUAGAGAAGAACAGCGCAUAGAGUAACUGUUAUGCGUGUGACGGUAUCUAACCAGAAAGCCACGGCUAACUACGUGCCAGCAGCCGCGGUAAUACGUAGGUGGCAAGCGUUGUCCGGAUUUAUUGGGCGUAAAGCGAGCGCAGGCGGUCAAUUAAGUCUGAUGUGAAAGCCCCCGGCUCAACCGGGGAGGGUCAUUGGAAACUGGUUGACUUGAGUGCAGAAGAGGAGAGUGGAAUUCCAUGUGUAGCGGUGAAAUGCGUAGAUAUAUGGAGGAACACCAGUGGCGAAGGCGACUCUCUGGUCUGUAACUGACGCUGAGGCUCGAAAGCGUGGGUAGCAAACAGG
RNAcentral lists this ribosomal RNA (429 nucleotides) under Bacteroidota bacterium. Its description in RNAcentral is "Bacteroidetes bacterium partial 16S ribosomal RNA". It matches the Rfam family "Bacterial small subunit ribosomal RNA", at positions 355 to 776 of the family's 1533-position model. The record is from RNAcentral. Lineage: Bacteria; Pseudomonadati; Bacteroidota.